Molecule: ribosomal RNA, 1141 nt
Filed under: Terribacillus saccharophilus
Lineage: Bacteria; Bacillati; Bacillota; Bacilli; Caryophanales; Bacillaceae
Description: bacterial SSU rRNA
Rfam family: Bacterial small subunit ribosomal RNA
Source: RNAcentral
GGGGGGGGGGGGGGUAAGGGGGGGCAGCUAAGUGCGGUCGAGCGCAGGAAACCAGUUGACCCCUUCGGGGUGAUUCUGGUGGAAUGAGCGGCGGACGGGUGAGUAACACGUGGGCAACCUGCCUGUAAGACUGGGAUAACUUCGGGAAACCGGAGCUAAUACCGGAUAGUAUUUCCUUUCUCCUGAUUGGAAAUGGAAAGACGGUUUCGGCUGUCACUUACAGAUGGGCCCGCGGUGCAUUAGCUAGUUGGCGGGGUAAUGGCCCACCAAGGCGACGAUGCAUAGCCGACCUGAGAGGGUGAUCGGCCACACUGGGACUGAGACACGGCCCAGACUCCUACGGGAGGCAGCAGUAGGGAAUCUUCCGCAAUGGACGAAAGUCUGACGGAGCAACGCCGCGUGAGCGAUGAAGGCCUUCGGGUCGUAAAGCUCUGUUGUUAGGGAAGAACAAGUACGAGAGUAACUGCUCGUACCUUGACGGUACCUAACCAGAAAGCCCCGGCUAACUACGUGCCAGCAGCCGCGGUAAUACGUAGGGGGCAAGCGUUGUCCGGAAUUAUUGGGCGUAAAGGGCUCGUAGGCGGUUUCUUAAGUCUGAUGUGAAAGCCCACAGCUCAACUGUGGAGGGUCAUUGGAAACUGGGGAACUUGAGUGCAGAAGAGGAGAGUGGAAUUCCACGUGUAGCGGUGAAAUGCGUAGAUAUGUGGAGGAACACCAGUGGCGAAGGCGACUCUCUGGUCUGUAACUGACGCUGAGGAGCGAAAGCGUGGGGGAGCAAACAGGAUUAGAUACCCUGGUAGUCCACGCCGUAAACGAUGAGUGCUAGGUGUUAGGGGGUUUCCGCCCCUUAGUGCUGAAGUUAACGCAUUAAGCACUCCGCCUGGGGGAGUACGGCCGCAAGGCUGAAACUCAAAAGAAUUGACGGGGGCCCGCACAAGCGGUGGAGCAUGUGGGUUUAAUUCGAAGCAACGCGAAGAACCCUUACCAGGUCUUGGACAUCCCGCUGACAACUCUGGAGACAGAGCGUUUCCCUUCGGGGGACAGCGUGACAGGUGGCUGCAUGGGCUUGUCGUCAGCUUCGUGGUCGUUGAAGAAUGAUUGCGUUUAGGUUCCCUCCGCGAACCGAAGGCGUCCAAGCUCU